Molecule: ribosomal RNA, 884 nt
Filed under: Sarcocystis tenella
Lineage: Eukaryota; Apicomplexa; Conoidasida; Eucoccidiorida; Sarcocystidae
Description: SSU rRNA
Rfam family: Eukaryotic small subunit ribosomal RNA
Source: RNAcentral
AAUGGCUCAUUAAAACAGUUAUAGUUUAUUUGAUAGUCAUCUGAGAUGAAAGUCUACUACAUGGAUAACCGUGGUAAUUCUAUGGCUAAUACAUGCGCAAAUAUCCUUUUUCGCAAGGAAGAGGAUAGUGUUUAUUAGAUACAGAACCAAUACACCAGUGUCACAGCUGGUGUGAAAAAGGUGAUUCAUAGUAACCGAACGGAUCGCAUUAUGGUCAUUCUUUUGUAAUGGCUGGCGAUAGAUCAUUCAAGUUUCUGACCUAUCAGCUUUCGACGGUAGUGUAUUGGACUACCGUGGCAGUGACGGGUAACGGGGAAUUAGGGUUCGAUUCCGGAGAGGGAGCCUGAGAAACGGCUACCACAUCUAAGGAAGGCAGCAGGCGCGCAAAUUACCCAAUCCUGACUCAGGGAGGUAGUGACAAGAAAUAACAACACUGGAAAUUUUAUUUCUAGUGAUUGGAAUGAUGGGAAUUUAAACCCCUUUCAGAGUAACAAUUGGAGGGCAAGUCUGGUGCCAGCAGCCGCGGUAAUUCCAGCUCCAAUAGCGUAUAUUAAAGUUGUUGCAGUUAAAAAGCUCGUAGUUGGAUGUCUGCUGGAAGCAAUCAGUCCGCCCUAUUUGUAGGGUGUGCACUUGAUGAAUUCUGGCAUUUUUGUCCCAAUGAUGUAACGGGGCGGUGGUACUCGGUGAAAGCCGAGUAUCCUGUUUUCCGAUUAUUGGGAUACUGUUACUUUGAGAAAAUUAGAGUGUUUGAAGCAGGCUAAUUGCCUUGAAUACUGCAGCAUGGAAUAACAAUAUAGGAUUUCGGUUCUAUUUUGUUGGUUUCUAGGACUGAAAUAAUGAUUAAUAGGGACAGUUGGGGGCAUUCGUAUUUAACUGUUCAGAGG